ACAUAAAAUAUCGUAAGAAUGGAGUUCUUCGACGAGGACGCUAGGCCAAGGUUCCUCUUCCAAUCUCAAGCUAAAGCUUCUUCUGCUUCAGAUUCACAAGAUUACCACAAACCCAGCAAGCCAUUCCUCUUCUUUACCAUUUCACUUUCUUGCCUUUUCUUCGCUCUCUCAAUUUUCUACCUCCAAUCCGAACCCUUUCGAUCCAUCCUAAUCUGGUUCUCUCUUUCUCUCCUCAUCGGUCCCUUUGCUCCCAUUUCCCUCACCGGCGGCGACGUCCGCGUCGGCCAUGGUUCAAUUGUUGAGUUCCCCAAUGAAGAAGUCGCAGUCGAUGAAGACACAAGCAAGAGGUCUUCUCAGAAGAGAUCGAAGGCUCGUAGAUCUGAGGAUACAGCGAUCGGUCCCAUCGUCUCGAUUGAUAGCGUCAACACGUCUGAGCGGGCGGAGAAGAAGAAUCAAGGAGUUGGUGGAAAUGGUGUGGUAUUGAAUGAAGAGAAGGAGUGGACUGAAGAAGACGUUGAGAUUUUGAAGAAACAGAUGUCGAAGCAUCCGGUGGGAAAACCUAGACGAUGGGAGGUAAUUGCAGAGGCAUUCAGCGGGCGGCAUAGGAUGGAGAGUGUCAUCAAGAAGGCAAAGGAAUUAGGAGAGAAGAAGCUUGAUGACUCUGACUCGUAUACACAGUUUUUGAAGAAGAGAAAACCGGUGGAUAAGAGACUUGAUAAUGGGAAUGGAGAUUUGGGAGGUGAACCGGAGGGGAAAGCUGACGAUGGUACUGGUGAAGGAGCUGGAAGUGGUUGGAGUGCAGGGGAGGAUAUUGCACUGCUUAACGCUUUGAAGGCAUUUCCAAAGGAUGCUGCUAUGAGAUGGGAGAAGAUUGCGGCUGCUGUACCGGGAAAAUCCAAAGCGGCUUGCAUGAAAAGAGUCACUGAUCUGAAAAAGGAGUUUAGGAGUGCAAAAGCUGCCGCAGAUGGGUAGAUACAAAGAGGAAAAUCCCUUGAGAUCUUGUCAGUUUAAUCUGCGAGAGUGUGAAAUUAGUUGAGAGAAACCCAAGAAUCCGUGAGGCAUGAUGAAGUUUCUUGAACUACGAAAAGCAGCGUGCUAAUGUCUUCUAAUAUCUACAUUCUGUCAUUGGUAAUUUGGUAUGCUUCAAAACCCAAAGCUCUAGUGUUGCUUUGGCCUUUGGGAAGAGUUGUCCUCUAUAUUGAAGAAUGACAAGAGUUUCACUCUUUUAAUUAUAAGCUGCUUCGAUUUCGCCCUGUGACUCAUACUUUCAGACUUGUAUAGUCUGUGUCUAAGGAGUAGCUUUCCUCAAGUUGAGCAUCUUCUGAAUGAAGCUUCUCCCUACUAAACAAGUACAGAACUAUGUCAUAACAGACAUCCGCAAUGUCCAAUCUGACAACGAUUUCAGUGAGAUCAUGGGUAUAUCGAGCUGCAGAACGGGGUGAGCCUUCAGAAACAGAGGAUAUGUAGUCAUGUGCUCCUCCUGGUACCAGAGGAUCGAGGAGUACGAUGCAACCUAAUCAAUCAAUGUCUAUUCAAUAAAAUUCGCGUCACGUUAAUCUAAGCUAUACUUCCAUGUAGGCUUUUUUACCAAUAUUUUAUGUACGGUAACAAACAAACAAAAAAAGACCAAAAUGCUUGAGAAGUAUUUAUCAGACACUUGCAUUGAAUCUCAUUCUUAGCAAGAA
This is an RNA transcript of Neltuma alba, 1685 nucleotides long. It is a transcript of the gene named transcription factor MAMYB, with no coding region annotated. The transcript is spliced from 2 exons. The record is from RefSeq and is a predicted model, not a curated record. NCBI's taxonomy places the organism in Eukaryota, Viridiplantae, Streptophyta, Magnoliopsida, Fabales, Fabaceae.